GCGGGGCUGCCUGGUGCGUGCGAGACAGCAUUCCCCGGGCCCAUACGACUCCCUAGGGAGCUGUCCCUGUCCGGAUCCUUGGAACCGGACACACGGCGCCCACCUACUCUGUAGGUGUCCCGGGAUUCAAAACUCCACGGCCGAGGUGGCUCCGCA
Molecule: non-coding RNA, 156 nt
Filed under: Hyphomicrobiales bacterium
Lineage: Bacteria; Pseudomonadati; Pseudomonadota; Alphaproteobacteria; Hyphomicrobiales
Description: Rhizobiales bacterium 6S RNA
Rfam family: 6S / SsrS RNA
About the family: E. coli 6S RNA was the first non coding RNA to be sequenced, but its function was unknown until recently. It consists of 184 nucleotides that fold into an extended hairpin structure with a large single-stranded internal bulge.
Source: RNAcentral